AUGGCGUCCGCCUCCAUCGCUCCCCCUCUCCUCCUCUUCGUCGCCGUCCUCGCGGUCACCCUGGCGGCGGCGACGGUGGCAGCCGACGCGCAUCAACCGGCUCCGGGUGGUGACGGUGAUGAUCGUCAGCUGAUGGCGGCGGGCGGCGGCGGCGGGAGGACCCUGCUGGGCAUAGACUGCCCCAAGGCGUGCGAGGCGCGGUGCGGGAGGAACUGGAAGAACGAGAUGUGCAACAAGUUGUGCAACAUCUGCUGCGGCAAGUGCAGCUGCGUCCCCUCCGGCACCGGCCAGGACACCCGCAACGAGUGCCCCUGCUACGCCAACAUGAAGAACACCAAGAACGGCAAACCCAAGUGCCCCUAA
RNAcentral lists this ribosomal RNA (363 nucleotides) under Triticum aestivum (bread wheat). RNAcentral describes it as "partial small subunit ribosomal RNA". Lineage: Eukaryota; Viridiplantae; Streptophyta; Magnoliopsida; Poales; Poaceae. The record is from RNAcentral.